CCUACGGGGGGCAUCAGUGGGGAAUAUUGGGCAAUGGGCGCAAGCCUGACCCAGCAACGCCGCGUGAAGGAAGAAGGCUUUCGGGUUGUAAACUUCUUUUCUGGGGGACGAACAAAUGACGGUACCCCAGGAAUAAGCCACGGCUAACUACGGGCCAGCAGCCGCGGUAAUACGUAGGUGGCAAGCGUUAUCCGGAUUUCUUGGAUGUAAAGGGCGUGUAGGCGGGAAUGCAAGUCAGAUGUGAAAACUCAGGGCUUAACCCUGGGCCUGCAUUUGAAAAUGUGUUUCUUGAGUGCUGGAGAGGCAAGCGGAAUGCCGUGUGUAGCGGUGAAAUGCGUAGAUAUACGGAGGAACACCAGUGGCGAAGGCGGAUUGCUGGACAGUAACUGACGCUGAGGCGCGAAAGCGUGGGGAGCAAACAGGAUUAGAUACCCGGGUAGUC
Molecule: ribosomal RNA, 442 nt
Filed under: uncultured bacterium
Lineage: Bacteria
Description: partial 16S ribosomal RNA
Rfam family: Bacterial small subunit ribosomal RNA
Source: RNAcentral